AGUACGGACUGAGGUUGAACACAACGAAGACUGAGUACUCAGAAGCCAGCCCCCAAACCGAUGGCACCAUCAGCGUCGAUGGAGAAGACCUGGCAAAGGUUGCAGUGAAACGUCAGCAGCUUUCUAGCCAGUGACGUCUGCAGCAAGGUCACAAAGCCCCUGUGCGCUCCAGUCAUACUUGGUGCCCCAUCAGUAGCCACUGACUCUAGUCUCAAUAAAUGCCUGGUGUUUCGCCCGGUACACCGGCUUCUUUUUCCUGGACCUUCUUUGCCCUUGCCUUCAACCUCAGCUCUCCUCAGAUGAUCUUUGCAUUCUGGAACAAUACAAAGAACCUCACCUGCCUGCCCUCCAGCCACCACUCACCACCUCGGACACAGCGGAACUCCGGUCAGCCAACCUUUGCCCCUACUCACCUGGAUUCUCACCACCUCUCUCUCGAAGCCAAGUUCACCUUGACUAUCAGUAACCAUUAUCAGUCAUAACCACCUCCACUAAAUAGCCUGUGCCUGCCGCCUUCUUAACCGUGUUCUCUUUUCUUCCCUGACAAAUCCGCUCCAUCCCCCUCAAUACCUACCAAUUCCCUGUUCACCCCACUGAUCCAAGGCCACAUCAUUAGCAACACUUUUUACAGUUUUACAGUUCUCUGCGUUUGAGUCCAG
Oreochromis niloticus (Nile tilapia) is the source of this 659-nucleotide long non-coding RNA. RefSeq lists it as uncharacterized. Lineage: Eukaryota; Metazoa; Chordata; Actinopteri; Cichliformes; Cichlidae. The transcript has 4 exons. The record is from RefSeq and is a predicted model, not a curated record.